CCGAAAUCGGUAGACGCUACGGACUUAAAAUCCGUCGACUUUAGAAAUCGUGAGGGUUCAAGUCCCUCUAUCCC
Molecule: transfer RNA, 74 nt
Filed under: Amorphophallus konjac (konjac)
Lineage: Eukaryota; Viridiplantae; Streptophyta; Magnoliopsida; Alismatales; Araceae
Also listed under: 6 other names
Description: partial tRNA-Leu
Source: RNAcentral